AAAGAGCAGCCUGAGCGACCCACGGGUCGUUUAUCGCGCAAAAGAGAGGGCAGUACGUCCACCGAAUAGGGUUGGCGGCGGUGAAGUGAAAGGAUGGAAAUGGGAACAAAUAUCGUUAAAAAGCUUCCAUGAGAACGCGUCUCUCAGCUCAACCUUUUGUCGCUGCCAGGUGCAUGUAAGUGCUGCAAGGUAUUAAAAGUGCUGGGCGGCUUCGUGGAAUAUUACAACUUGGAUGUUGCAAUUAUAACUGAGCGCGCAGCAUUUUCCAUGGCUGACCCCAGACAGCUGUGUGUUCCCACUGCAGCUUUGAAACAGGGUGAAUUGAAACCGGAAGCCUAAAGCCGCGCGCACCAAGUGAUCGUCCUGAUGUACUACGCAGUGCAGGAAUGGUCCUUACCGCAAGCCUCGAUUCGAGUGACUCGGCACAGCGGCU
This 433-nucleotide long non-coding RNA is filed under the name Volvox carteri. RNAcentral describes it as "long non-coding RNA (VCAR_LNC001630)". Lineage: Eukaryota; Viridiplantae; Chlorophyta; Chlorophyceae; Chlamydomonadales; Volvocaceae. The record is from RNAcentral.